UCAGUCAAAGAAAACAGUCACCUUUUAAUUGUCUUUUAUUACAAUUACACUAAAGUCUGCUCUAUUACUAUUAGGGCAAGUGGAUGACCUGUUUAUAUUUCACAAGACAUACCAUGGCCAAGUAGUUUGCUCCCAAUUAUUGCCUUGUCAACUCUAACCUUUUCCUGUCAAGUCAAUUUGGGCAAAUUCAUGUCAUCAAUAUUUGAUUAAAACUCAAAAUGGAGUAAAAAUGGGGUCACAUUGUUAUCUCUAUGGCAAUUUGUGCUGUGUGACAUACAGUGACUGUUGUCUUCUACUCUCUCUGACGGCAAGCUGUGAAACUAACUUGCUUUUCAUUUUUUUCCCCUUUUUAUCUCGCCUCCAUAGGUCCUUGAACAUGAAACUGCUGCGCCGCUUAAAUUACAUCUCAACGUGCAUCUUGAUGCAUUGAAAAUGGUUACACUUCUACACAUGUGCACAGUUUCACAACAAAGAAUCCCUAUACGUCUCGAAGAGAGUGCUGAGUGUGCCGUGACAUUGAUGGUUAAUCCCACUAGAGCACUUGUACAAAUCUACAGUGGGCUGAAGAAGUUAUCUUUGUGCUGGGCUGACCAUGAUGCUGUGAUGAAGUCUCCGCUGGCACAGUAAUGCUCAUUAAAGACGACACCGGAGGGACAAGCCCUCAAUCCUCAUCUUCUGCCCUACAUUUCCCUUCUCAAUUUCCCACGACCCGACAAGGAGUGGCCAGCAGGAGUUACCACAAAUUCCCUCCAGCGGCACCUGUCUUCCACACCACAUCCCCAAAGCCUGUGCUUCUUUACGGGAAGCGCGAGACCCCGACUGACAGCGCCUCACUUCCUGCUGGGGUGUUAACAUGUGCCGCAGGGACUCCUAUAAC
Long non-coding RNA from Acanthopagrus latus (yellowfin seabream), 877 nucleotides. RefSeq lists it as uncharacterized. NCBI's taxonomy places the organism in Eukaryota, Metazoa, Chordata, Actinopteri, Spariformes, Sparidae. The record is from RefSeq and is a predicted model, not a curated record. The transcript is spliced from 3 exons.